Numida meleagris (helmeted guineafowl) is the source of this 2778-nucleotide long non-coding RNA. RefSeq lists it as uncharacterized. The record is from RefSeq and is a predicted model, not a curated record. Lineage: Eukaryota; Metazoa; Chordata; Aves; Galliformes; Numididae. The transcript has 2 exons.
UGCCUCCACCUCCUCUGCUGGGGGAUGCAAGCCCUUACCUGGGUAAUGGGGAGGGGGGCUGCAGGUGAACAUCACUCCCCAGCCUUCGGUGAUCUUCACGGGGUCUCGCUCUUCUGCAGAGAAUUCCUGCAAAACUAAACACACGCGGUGAAACUCGCCCGUGGGCGGGGGGAGCAGCUGGGGGAGCUGCAGUGGCCAUCUGCCCCUCCGUGGGGUGGCAUUUCCAGUGGCUUUGCAGAGAGGUACAGAAGUAUCUGAGCACUGACUCUGUCGUGCAUCAAACACGCCAGUGGGAUUUCUGCACCACGUUCACAACUCCUCCCCAAACUUCUCUUUAUUAAUGGGGCUGGGGGGGCUUGCUGUCCCCCCAGCGUUACUGCGGCUGCAUUUCAUUUGCUUUAUGCAGACAAAGAAGGGACUUACAGCCAAAGCGGAGGGACGCUUCCCUGCUGACCACCGUGCCACGGGCGUUGGUUGCCACGCACUGGGUGUCCCUGGCGGUGACAGAGCUAUAUCUGGAAUAAAACGAGGAGCAAUGUGAGAAUCACAGCCCAUCUGUCACCCAGCCCCAAGCAGGGCUUCGGGCAGAUUGUGUGCGUUCCCCACUGAGCAUCCUGCACCGACUCUGCUAUGCCACAGGAGCAGACGUGCUUAGAGAUGGGCACGCGAAGGAGCCCUGGCACAGCCUCUUGUGAAGCACAGAUGGGGAGGGAGCUGGGAAUGCCAGGGUGCUCUCAUUGUCCUGGAAGCGAGGACAUGCCGCUGCCUCCCCUGUACCAACACUGCUGCUUUGUUCUUCCUGUGCCCUAGGAGAGCACAGUCUGGGUGUUCACAGCUAGAGCUCAGCUCUGCUGCUGACCUCCUGCACACACCUGGCUGCUCCCUCCAUCCCUGCAGCUGCAGUAUCCUCAGCUCUCUCUUUGUGUCACGCCUGCUGCUUGCAGCUGGGUGCAAACCGGUGCUGCAGAUGCUAGAAAUUGCAAUGCAAAUAGGCAAGAACAAAGCAGAAAGCUGCCUGGAAACCUAUAACCCAAAAUCAGCGAGCGAGGUAAUCACUGCCGGCACACAUCCCUGGUACCUCGAGCCAUGCCCCUUAGCAGGGAUGGGAUUCGAGGCAGCGUCCUCCUCUAUAUGGUGAUAAAUGAGAGAUGCCUGGCUGCCCCCAGCAUCCUUCCAUGCUUUGCAAUUGAAUUAAUAACCAUCUUAAAACCGCCAUGCCAACCUGCAAUCUGCUUCCUUCCCCGCAGUACGCAGCAUGGUCACCGGUUAAAUGAAGUGACUCCCGUUAAGUGUGAUGUUUUAUGCAAGAGUAACUUCCAGCAGGGAUCGGCUCUCCGGGCUGAGGGGAAGCAGCCCUUCACCUGCAGCUCCCGGGGUUGCCCUCGUGUUCAUGGCAUGCGGAGACCAGGGCCAAAACGAGAGAGGGGCUGCGUUAAUUGGCUCUGCGGGCUCGGAGCAGCUGUUUGCUCCCCAUGUCUGGUCCUCACAUCCAGGCACUGCCCAAUUAGUGGGGGCUCUGCUCCGGCCAGCGUGCCUGUCCCUAAAGCUUUGGAGUGAGAGAAGCAGUUUUGUGAAGGUCGUAUUGCCUCCAGAUCUGUGGCAGUGCUUUUUUUUUUUUUCCUUCUGGGAUUGUUACAUUCACCAAAGAGAAGCUUCUCUGUGCUGGAAAUCGCCUCCGUUGGUUCAGCUUCUCCUGUGCUGCUCUCAGCUGGAAAUAGCUCCUUGCUGGCCAGCACUUAACAUAAUCAGGAGUUAAUGGAGAAUUAAGAAAGACGUGGUGUAUUCGUUGUGUUCUGAGCGACGGCAGUCAACGGAUUAAGGAUGGGCAGAUUUGCAUUCGGAGAUUAAUAGGCAGCACGUGGUAAAUAACUUCCAAUUAUUGAACAAAUGUUAUGUUAUAGUCAGUCCCAUACAUGCCUCCUCUCAUGGGAACUCUUUCCCAAUGAGGUUUGGCCAAUCAUCCCUCCCAUCCCACCCGGAGCCCCGCAUCCUCCGCCGUCCCUUAUUCUCCACCAAGGUUAUGGGCUACCACUCUCAGGCAUUGAUUUUCUCAUACGCAGUCAAUGCCAGAAGUUCAGGCAGAUUUUAUGUACAGUUCCAAGGUGUCUGGUUGGCGUUGGAGGUGAAAUCCUGCAUCUCACUCAUUAAGCGAAACGACCGUUAGAUUAAAGCGAUAAUUGAACUGUUACAAGUUCAGGCGGUGGGUAGAGCCGGGAACUGAGAUCAAAGCAGAGCAGCAGAUCUGAGCACCUCCGAGACCCAUCAUCUCAGCUGCUGCUGUCACCACAGAGCUCCCCUUUUUAAUGUUACCACAACAAGACCUUCCCAGGGCUCUGUCAUUCGGGCAGAAGGGAGAAGGCAAACACAGAACAACAUCUUUGAGCCUGCAAGCUGCGUGUGCAAGAGGCAGAGGGAUCCCUUCAGAGCUGGGCAUGCCAUAUGCAGCCCCUACUUCUGCGCUGAAAUCCAGCUAGGAGCAGAAAUUAUUCUCAAUGUGCUGCUGUGUCUGGCUGGAACAACAUUCGUUUUGAAGAAAAAUCAGCCUUAACACCAAAAUAAAUAGGGAAAGGUGGAAAUGGAAUAUCGGAACAUUAAGAUCGGGAGAAAUAGCUGCAGAAACGUUUUGAACAUUUCAGCGCUCCGAGAGUGAUUUGUGCUGAUGUCUGGGAGGGAAAAAUACCGUAUAAUGAAAUACACCAGCAAGGCCGUAAUCUCUGAGUGUAAAAACCAUCCCAGACCUUAUACCAGAAAUUGAUGGAAUAGAACUCAGAAUAGAAC